This 238-nucleotide ribosomal RNA is filed under the name uncultured bacterium. Its description in RNAcentral is "partial 16S ribosomal RNA". It matches the Rfam family "Bacterial small subunit ribosomal RNA", at positions 524 to 758 of the family's 1533-position model. The record is from RNAcentral.
UACGUAGGGUGCGAGCGUUAAUCGGAAUUACUGGGCGUAAAGCGUGCGCAGGCGGUUUGUAAGUCUGUCGUGAAAUCCCCGGGCUUAACCUGGGAAUUGCGAUGGAGACUGCAAGGCUAGAAUCUGGCAGAGGGGGGGGUAGAAUUCCACGUGUAGCAGUGAAACUGCGUAGAGAUGUGGGAGGAACACCGAUGGCGAAGGCAGCCCCCUGGGUCAAGAUUGACGCUCAUGCACGAAA